GCCCCCCUCAAGAUGAGAUUUCCCAACUUCGGUUAUAAGAUCCCUCAAAGAUGAUGAGGUUAAUAGGUUCGAGGUGGAAGCAUGGUGACAUGUGGAGCUGACGAAUACUAAUCGAUCGAAGACUUAAUCAA
RNAcentral lists this ribosomal RNA (131 nucleotides) under Staphylococcus aureus. Its description in RNAcentral is "partial 23S ribosomal RNA". It matches the Rfam family "Bacterial large subunit ribosomal RNA", at positions 2792 to 2925 of the family's 2925-position model. The record is from RNAcentral. Lineage: Bacteria; Bacillati; Bacillota; Bacilli; Caryophanales; Staphylococcaceae.